Molecule: ribosomal RNA, 253 nt
Filed under: uncultured bacterium
Lineage: Bacteria
Description: partial 16S ribosomal RNA
Rfam family: Bacterial small subunit ribosomal RNA
Source: RNAcentral
UACGGAGGGGGCAAGCGUUACUCGGAAUCACUGGGCGUAAAGGGCGCGUAGGCGGCCUAGCAAGUCUGGUGUGAAAGCCCAGGGCUCAACCCUGGAAGUGCACUGGAAACUGCUAGGCUUGAGUUCCGGAGAGGAGGGGGGAAUUCCCAGUGUAGCGGUGAAAUGCGUAGAUAUCGGGAGGAACACCAGUGGCGAAGGCGCCCCACUGGACGGAAACUGACGCUGAGGCGCGAAAGCGUGGGGAGCAAACAGG